Molecule: ribosomal RNA, 526 nt
Filed under: uncultured bacterium
Lineage: Bacteria
Description: bacterial SSU rRNA
Rfam family: Bacterial small subunit ribosomal RNA
Source: RNAcentral
AAUCGAGUGGCGAACGGGUGAGUAACGCGUGAGGAACCUGCCUCAAAGAGGGGGACAACAGUUGGAAACGACUGCUAAUACCGCAUAAGCCCACGGCUCGGCAUCGAGCAGAGGGAAAAGGAGUGAUCCGCUUUGAGAUGGCCUCGCGUCCGAUUAGCUAGUUGGUGAGGUAACGGCCCACCAAGGCGACGAUCGGUAGCCGGACUGAGAGGUUGAACGGCCACAUUGGGACUGAGACACGGCCCAGACUCCUACGGGAGGCAGCAGUGGGGAAUAUUGCACAAUGGGGGAAACCCUGAUGCAGCGACGCCGCGUGGAGGAAGAAGGUCUUCGGAUUGUAAACUCCUGUUGUUGAGGAAGAUAAUGACGGUACUCAACAAGGAAGUGACGGCUAACUACGUGCCAGCAGCCGCGGUAAAACGUAGGUCACAAGCGUUGUCCGGAAUUACUGGGUGUAAAGGGAGCGCAGGCGGGAGAACAAGUUGGAAGUGAAAUCCAUGGGCUCAACCCAUGAACUGCUUUCAAA